CUCUCUCAGGCACUGUGUGCCUCACAUUUCCUCAUUCAUGUCUGUUUAAGCUCUAAUUCACACGCACUGAGGUCACACUCUCGGUUUGGAGCAUAAAAGAGCAGCGGGACGACGGACAUGAGCCACACACUCCUGAAGGCUGCUGGGAGAGGCACGGGAGGGCGUCUCUGUCUGGACCUGCGUCGCUAUGGGUCUUCAGUCCAGCACUGCACAACAGCAGCAGCAGAUUUGGAGGGCGUUUGGCUCGGUUCAUCGGCUCUGAACGAGCGGCACCGCGGUGGCUCUGAUUGGCUGGCUGGACAUCCACUGAGCGCGACUUCAGGUGACGGAGAGGUUUAAGCUCGUGUUGGUGAGACGGCUCAGUGAGCCCGGUGACAGAGGAAGGAGAAAGACCAGCAAAGAGGUUUGACCAGGCGUGACCGCCGCCCCGCCCGGGACAAAUUCCUGACAGUUAUCAUGACCGCUGGACGAGGACAGCGAGGCUUUCAUCUCAGAGGUCAGAUUUACUACUGAAACCACUGAGGAGAGCUGAACCCUCAGCACUAAGUGGAAAACACUGAACGCUGUGAUCCAACUCAGAACAUUCCCGCUCCCACGUCUUACUCCAUCUUUCAAGUUGAAGUCUGAAUCCGGGCUUUGGGUUGUUCCCAUCUCUCCGGACUGGUUCUUGACAUGUUAAAAAAUGAUUUUGUGACUUUUAGUAAAUCUUCCGAGGCUUCAGAUUAGCCAAAGGACAAACCCAUGAAUGUCAGCAUCAGCGUGUCCUCUCCUCUGUCUUUCAUGCCUUCACUUCACCACAGGGGUCCCUAAUCCAGGAGGAGUUAAACCUCUCCUCCAUUCAGGCAGCAUAGAGACGAACAGACCCAAUUACACAAAGGAAGACAUGGACAGAGAAAGAACACAGAGAGGAACCUGAUGGACAUGAGAAAAGAGACAAAAGGUCAAACUUAAUGCAGUGCAGUGCUCAGAAAACGACCAAAAAAAGGCGGGUAGAUGAAGUUAAACUGACAGAAAGACGGGAAAAGGAGGAAUGAAAGGACAGGUGGCAGAGGUCAGGCUGAACGCCUUGCACUGGAGAGUAACGAAACUAAAGAGCAAAGUGGGAAAAGUAGGAGAUUACUGGGGGGAACAGCAUUGGCCAGAAGCCAGAGAGACCAUUAGCAAAGUUGGUCCGGUCAGUGUAGCGUAGCACCGACGUGCAUUUAAAAACUCUGCUUCCAUCUCACAUUUCACACGCUCUGCAAUCCUGCUUUCAACCUCUGCUGCGGCGAUGUUGGCGCACCUCGUUCUCAGGUCACAGAAGAAGAAAAACCUGAACUGGGAGGUGAAAUAAUCCAUGUGGGUAGCACCGGAAAAGUCAGACCUGCAAUGCUUCAGUUCACUUACACAAUCUUAUAUUAUUAAAGAGCCGAUGUGUUGAUUAACUGGCUGUCACACAACCAUGUAUCACCGUCUUUCCACAUGAGGCUUUGCCUGAGUCACAAGCAUAGAAAGUCUCUUUUUAUGGUGGUGCACUGACUUCAGAGGGGACACGAGUGUUUGUGAUCUGUGGGCUUUAUCACAAAAACCACAAAAUCAAAAAACAGAAUCAAUCAUGCUGCCAGGAGUACAGACCCUGAAUAUGUCUUUACACUUACAGGACAACAGAGCUUUUACCAGGUCUCUGUCUGAUAGUAUCAAAACAACUCUUUGAUUGGUCAAAUCACAGGACAGUUUUCUGCUCAGGCCCAGAGAAGCAGCAGCAUUUCGCUGUCAUAUUGAGAUGUGUGGGAGCACCUUAGAGACCCAACCGCGCGACCCACGUGUCAAACUCAAACGAUCGUUAACGCUGAUCGGGAGAAAAAAGUCCAAGGAGCGAGACAUGGAGUUAAAUCUGAGAACUCUAGGAAUACUAGGAAACUGGGAAAUCAGAGUGAGGGAACACAGCUUAGAGAGACAACACGGCAAAGGACAAAGGAGGACUGAGACAAUAUAUACAAAAGCAAUAUGGAGACAACUUUACCAAACAGUGGGAAGUUAAACAAGAUCAAAAUAAAACAGGAAGUAAAACAGGAGAAACGUGACACAGGAGACACCGAAGGACACAAAACACAACAGGAAACUAACAGAAAGUAACUGUAACUAACACGAAGUAAUACAAAGUGUCAGAAGAUAAAUGAGGCUUGCAAACACAAAAGGAAAACUAAAGACUGAACAACCCAGACACGCUGAACCCAAAGUGGGAUACAAACGUAAAUUAUCCUCAAAACAGAAUCACAAACCCACCCAGGGACUGUGACACUGUGUGUGGAGCUCGAUGUGUGGAACGGUCCAGCUGAUUAUCGAUAAAGUUAUUGAAAUAAGCCGCCAUAAAAAUAGCACAUCGGCGCAGACGCCGACACUGUAGGGAUAACAGGAUGAAGUUUGGGUGACAUCAUCAUGUCAUGAGAGAAUGUCAUGUGAAAUCUUCAAUAUGUAAA
Molecule: non-coding RNA, 2459 nt
Organism: Maylandia zebra (zebra mbuna)
Lineage: Eukaryota; Metazoa; Chordata; Actinopteri; Cichliformes; Cichlidae
Source: RefSeq, a predicted model, not a curated record